ACGUUGGAUACUGGAGCGGGGAAGGAUUUCGUGCCAACGGCACUCGUACACGAGUUGUUCGGAUACUGAGCACAACGUUACACCGUUUUGUUAGGAAAGUGAAGGUGCGUCGGCGGCGUGCGUUUUUUUUUUGUUUUUUUUUUUUUUUUAAAAAAAAAAAAAAAAAAGGCGCCCCCCCCUGGGCCUUUUUGAAAAGGGGGAAAAAA
Molecule: ribosomal RNA, 206 nt
Filed under: Trypanosoma caninum
Lineage: Eukaryota; Euglenozoa; Kinetoplastea; Trypanosomatida; Trypanosomatidae
Description: partial large subunit ribosomal RNA
Source: RNAcentral